Molecule: ribosomal RNA, 484 nt
Filed under: uncultured bacterium
Lineage: Bacteria
Description: partial 16S ribosomal RNA
Rfam family: Bacterial small subunit ribosomal RNA
Source: RNAcentral
AUUGAACGCUGGCGGCAGGCCUAACACAUGCAAGUCGAGCGGAUGAAGGGGGCUUGCUCCUGGAUUCAGCGGCGGACGGGUGAGUAAUGCCUUGGAAUCUGCCUGGUAGUGGGGGAUAACGUCCGGAAACGGGCGCUAAUACCGCAUACGUCCUGAGGGAGAAAGUGGGGGAUCUUCGGACCUCACGCUAUCAGAUGAGCCUAGGUCGGAUUAGCUAGUUGGUGGGGUAAAGGCCUACCAAGGCGACGAUCCGUAACUGGUCUGAGAGGAUGAUCAGUCACACUGGAACUGAGACACGGUCCAGACUCCUACGGGAGGCAGCAGUGGGGAAUAUUGGACAAUGGGCGAAAGCCUGAUCCAGCCAUGCCGCGUGUGUGAAGAAGGUCUUCGGAUUGUAAAGCACUUUAAGUUGGGAGGAAGGGCAGUAAGUUAAUACCUUGCUGUUUUGACGUUACCAACAGAAUAAGCACCGGCUAACUUCGUG